AAGGUGCUAGUAUAAAAGAAAUUACCCUGCUUUGUCAAGGCAGAGACGCAAGUUGAAUCCUUGCGCACCUUG
This 72-nucleotide transfer RNA is filed under the name Synodus variegatus (variegated lizardfish). RNAcentral describes it as "tRNA-Asp". It matches the Rfam family "tRNA". Rfam says of the family: Transfer RNA (tRNA) molecules are approximately 80 nucleotides in length. RNAcentral also lists the same sequence under 1 other name. Lineage: Eukaryota; Metazoa; Chordata; Actinopteri; Aulopiformes; Synodontidae. The record is from RNAcentral.